GAUGAACGCUGGCGGCGUGCUUAACACAUGCAAGUCGAACGGAAAGGCCAGUGCUUGCACUGGUACUCGAGUGGCGAACGGGUGAGUAACACGUGGGUGAUCUGCCCUGCACUUCGGGAUAAGCCUGGGAAACUGGGUCUAAUACCGGAUAGGACAAUGGUUUGGAUGCCGUUGUGGAAAGUUUUUUCGGUGUGGGAUGAGCUCGCGGCCUAUCAGCUUGUUGGUGGGGUAAUGGCCUACCAAGGCGUCGACGGGUAGCCGGCCUGAGAGGGUGUACGGCCAAAUUGGGACUGAGAGACGGCCCAGACUCCUACGGGAGGCAGCAGUGGGGAAUAUUGCACAAUGGGCGAAAGCCUGAUGCAGCGACGACGCGUGGGGGAUGACGGCCUUCGGGUUGUAAACUCCUUUCGCUAGGGACGAAGCGUAUUUGUGACGGUACCUGGAGAAGAAGCACCGGCUAACUACGUG
Molecule: ribosomal RNA, 468 nt
Filed under: uncultured bacterium
Lineage: Bacteria
Description: partial 16S ribosomal RNA
Rfam family: Bacterial small subunit ribosomal RNA
Source: RNAcentral